GACGAACGCUGGCGGCGUGCCUAAUACAUGCAAGUAGAACGCACAGUUUAUACCGUAGCUUGCUACACCAUAGACUGUGAGUUGCGAACGGGUGAGUAACGCGUAGGUAACCUGCCUGGUAGCGGGGGAUAACUAUUGGAAACGAUAGCUAAUACCGCAUAAUAUUGAUUAUUGCAUGAUAAUUAAUUGAAAGGUGCAAUUGCACCACUACCAGAUGGACCUGCGUUGUAUUAGCUAGUAGGUGAGGUAACGGCUCACCUAGGCGACGAUACAUAGCCGACCUGAGAGGGUGAUCGGCCACACUGUGACUGGGACACGGCCCAGUCGCCCUCGGGAGGCAGCAGUAGGGAAUCUUCGGCAAUGGACGCAAGUCUGACCGAGCAACGCCGCGUGAGUGAAGAAGGUUUUCGGAUCGUAAAGCUCUGUUGUAAGAGAAGAACGGGUGUGAGAGUGGAAAGUUCACACUGUGACGGUAUCUUACCAGAAAGGGACGGCUAACUACGUG
Molecule: ribosomal RNA, 505 nt
Filed under: uncultured bacterium
Lineage: Bacteria
Description: partial 16S ribosomal RNA
Rfam family: Bacterial small subunit ribosomal RNA
Source: RNAcentral